CACAGGGACACUGCUGUGUCCUCACUUGGGAGGGAGGCUCGGCUCGAACUGAGUCUCCAUGGCUUCCUGUGUGGGCAGACCUGCUGCUCCAGGUGAGGGGUGCCCUCGGCAAGGACGGUCCUGUUGCCCCUGCCUGUCCCCUGGGCACUGACAAUGGCACUACAGUACUGCUGGGCUGAUGCCUGAGAGCCUGGGUAUGGGCUUGGAGCCAAAGGCCCUCUCUCACUGACAGCCAGACCUCCCUUUACCUCUCUGCACCCCAUGCUCCUCAUCUGGACAGCGUGGGUGACAGGGAUAGAAUCUGCCAUGUGCGUACGAGUUUGUGAGGACCAAUUGGUGUCCUAUGUGCAAAGGGACCCAGAACAGAGCCAGCACCAGUGCCACUUGGUGAGCAGGACAAUGUUGGGUUGUGCUUCUUUCUCAUUUUAUUAGUGAAUGAUAAAUAUUUACUAAAUGUGCCAGGUGCAAUGGCACAUGCCAGGAAUUCCAGCACUUGGGAGGCUGAGGCAGGAGGACUGCCACAAGUUUGAGGCCAGCCUGGGCUGCAUAGUGAGUUCAAGACCAGCCAGAAUUAAAUAACGAAACCCUGCCUCUUUGGUUCUCUUUCUAUUACUUUUGGUUAUUUUUCCAAGUGGACCUAGUUCCUGAGGAGUCAAGUGUCCACAGCCCAGCUCUCAGGACAAAGAAUACUAAUACAAAUCUAGCUAGAGUGACUUCUAGUUGCCUGUCCCAUGUCCAUUUUCCUCUGCUUCCUGUAUUUCAAAAAUAACUUUUAUGUUGUCAAGGAUAGCAAUGUUUCCCAUUAAAAACUGGGUUUCUCAUGCUCCUUUACAGAUAGGGUGGUCAAUGAAAGAUUUAGGCUGAAAGGGUUUGCUGGAGAUUCUGAUAAAACUCUUUAAGUGAAACAAGCAUUUAAGAGAUGUAAUUAACCAUUUGUCCACCACUUCCUUUAUGUCUCCUGCCUGAAAUGAGAGGUCACAGCUGAAGCUCCAGCAGCCUUAUUGAAGCCAUUAGACAAGUUGGAGGAAGGAUGCUGGUGCUAAAGAUGGCGGAGCAGGCAGAUGGCAAUAGACCUUUGGGAAAGCAGCCAUUUUUCCUGGAGAUUUGACUGUUUUUGCCUGUUGAUUUGUCUGGAUGGUGCAGAGGGAGACAAGCAAAGUGGGGAGCAGGAAGAGGAGAGGACCUUGGAGUGUGCAGUCUCCACCUCCUUCCCAUCCUUAAUGAACCAGAUCUUUCCAAGGAGACUACCAAGCUGAGGAUCUGGAGAAGCUACAAGCUGUAUUGGUGGCAUGUACUUAUGAAUGCUGCGAGACAAAGCCUUCAGAGCUGGCCCCAGAUGUGAGGCGGUGUUACCAGUGAACAUGGAUGUGGCGCCACAGCAAGGACAGCUGAGGCGGGGCAGGACCUUCUCCACUGUCCCCACUCUGGACUCUGCAAGCACCGUAUCUGGCCAGAGACAAAGUGGCUGGUAUCUGACUGGGUACUCAGCCACCAGCCUGCUGCAUCUGGCUGUCCCUGGGAAGAAAGGAG
RNAcentral lists this long non-coding RNA (1530 nucleotides) under Heterocephalus glaber (naked mole-rat). RNAcentral's name for it is "lncRNA (ENSHGLG00000047126.1)". Lineage: Eukaryota; Metazoa; Chordata; Mammalia; Rodentia; Bathyergidae. The record is from RNAcentral.